AUGGCAGGCGGCCCAUCAAACCUCGGCAAGAUCCAGUGCACUCGGCGUGCACAAGGCUCCGCGGCAGUGCUGGCAAUCGGAACGGCAAACCCAGUGAACCACGUGUCUCAAGAAGAGUUCCCUGACUACUACUUCUAUGUCACCAAGAGCGAGCACCUCACUGACCAUAAAGACACAUUCAAGACAAUAUGUGGUGCGAUUGGCACGGAGAAUCGUUUCUUUCAAUACACGGAGGAACAGCUGAACUCUUACCCUGACUUCCUGCUUCAACGCACGUUGCCAUCCCUUGAAGUUCGGCUUGAUAUUGUGGCUAGUGCUGCUCCACAACUUGCCGCAUCAGCCGCCAAGAAGGCCAUUGCAAAGUGGGGACGUCCGGCCACUGACAUCACCCACCUUGUCGUCAGCACCAACUCGGACGCCAGCGCCCCAGGCAUCGACGUACACUUGGUUUCACUUCUUGGCCUUCGCCUCAACAUCUGUCGUACGAUGCUCCAACUGAACGGCUGCUUCACUGGUAGCUCUGCUUUGCGCUUGGCAAAAGACCUUGCUGAGAACAACCGCGGAGCACGGGUCCUUGUGGUUUGCGUGGAGCUCUCCAUUGCUGGUUUCUGUGGCCCCGACGACCACUUAGACACCCUCAUUAUUCAUGCGCUGUUCGGCGAUGGGGCUGGAGCGGUCAUUGUCGGUGCUGAUACCAUGCACCCUGUCGAGCAGCCGAUGUUUGAGAUGGUGUCUGCCUCACAGACCAUCAUACCGGGCACCCAGCAUGUGCUUGGCGUGAAGAUGGGGAGCUAUGGUGUUGGUGGCAAAGUUUCCACCGAACUGUACAAACUGGUGGCAGACAACAUCGAGCCAUGCCUUUCGGAGGCAUUUGGUCCACUUGACAUGGGUGCCCAGUGGAAUGACCUCUUCUGGGCAGUUCACCCUGGAGCCCGUGGGAUAUUGGAUGGAAUCGACAAGAAACUCCAGUUGGAGCCCACAAAGCUAGCGGCGAGCCGAAGUGUUCUACGAAACUUUGGUAACAUGUUUAGCGCUACUAUCAUCUUCGUGCUGGAUCAGCUACGACGGCGAAUAGAGGAGGAAGGAGAGCGAGCAGAGUGGGGGGUCAUGCUCGGAUUCGGGCCAGGAUUCACUAUCGAGACGAUGGUGCUGCACGCUACCGGCGCUCUAAACAAAAACUAG
RNAcentral lists this ribosomal RNA (1182 nucleotides) under Triticum aestivum (bread wheat). RNAcentral describes it as "partial small subunit ribosomal RNA". The record is from RNAcentral. Lineage: Eukaryota; Viridiplantae; Streptophyta; Magnoliopsida; Poales; Poaceae.